CCGUGCUAGGCGGGGAGCCAGCGGUGCCCUGUACCCACAAUCCGCUACAGUGGGGCUGAACGCCGCCCGAGGCUUAUCGUAUGGAGGGCUGACCCCGUUAAGCGGUGAUGAUGGUAAGGUCUUGUGCAACGUUGCACCGUGAACCGUGUCAGGGCGGGAACGCAGCAGCACUAAGCGGAGCGCAGCGUGUGCCACAAGGUAGCUUUACCGGAGCCGGCUGGCGGGCAAUCGCCUCGGUACGGUCUGUCGACGGCGGAUGCACG
This 263-nucleotide signal recognition particle RNA is filed under the name human gut metagenome. Its description in RNAcentral is "Bacterial large signal recognition particle RNA". It matches the Rfam family "Bacterial large signal recognition particle RNA". From Rfam's summary of the family: The signal recognition particle (SRP) is a universally conserved ribonucleoprotein involved in the co-translational targeting of proteins to membranes. Archaeal SRP consists of a 7S RNA and homologues of the eukaryotic SRP19 and SRP54 proteins. The record is from RNAcentral.